CUGCUGUGGUAGGGACGGCCGACACGCCCUUGCGGUUGCCGCGGUGCAUGGUCACAGUGAUGUACUUCCWCUUCUGGUGCAGCGAGGAGCUGAUGUGGACCAGCAGUCGGGACAGAUGAAGAACACAGCUCUGCAUGAAGCUGCAGCUCAGGGUCCUGAAGGUCUGAAGUGUGCCGAGGUCCUGCUCAGCUGCAGGGCCAGUGUGAGGAGGAGGAACGCCAGUGGUCAGACGCCGUACGACGCGGCGGUGAGCUCCGGCU
Paralichthys olivaceus (Japanese flounder) is the source of this 260-nucleotide non-coding RNA. Lineage: Eukaryota; Metazoa; Chordata; Actinopteri; Pleuronectiformes; Paralichthyidae. The record is from RefSeq and is a predicted model, not a curated record.